UUCUUGGUUGACUUUUUGAUUGUAUGGUUGCUCUGCUGCUCUGUACAGUUUUUGACUCGAAUUCAUAUAGUAAAUAAUAAAAAUAACAACAACUACAACAACAUUACGACGGAGAGAAAUAAUAUCACACAACAUAUUUUCAUAACAACUCAAUUGAAGCAGACGGAACAAUUGUAAAUCAAAUAAUAAAAGAGAAAAGUACCUUUUUGGGGGAACAGCAAAGUAAAAAUAUAGACACAAAUCCAACAACUGAAGUAAACAAACAAAAUCGAAGUCAUCGGUGAUUGGUGAUUAAAAAUUGGUAUAAAUAUCGAGAUAAAAACGUGAACUCCAAUCGAAAAGCGUUGCGUGCAAUCAGUGGAUAAGCAGAAAACAAAACUUCGAAACUGGAUAGACAAUUUCAUUAUCCCUAUAUUUAUAUUUAUAUAAAUAAUUUAUCAUCAAAAAUGAAUUGUGAUAACAAUAAUCUACAAACCACACAAAGUAUAGCUGAUUAUUUGGCUCAACUACUUAAGGACAGAAAGCAGCUUGCUGCUUUUCCAACAGUAUUCAAUCAUGUGGAACGUUUACUAGACGAAGAAAUCGCCAAAGUUAGAGCGUCGCUAUUCCAAAUAAAUGGCGUAAAAAAGGAACCAUUAAAGCUACCUGAACCAGAUGGAACUCCAGUUACUUUAAAUGAAAAAGUCUAUGUGCCAGUUAGAGAACACCCAGAUUUCAAUUUCGUCGGACGAAUUCUCGGCCCAAGAGGUAUGACAGCUAAACAGCUAGAACAAGAAACUGGCUGUAAAAUUAUGGUCAGAGGAAAAGGAUCAAUGCGAGACAAGAAAAAGGAGGACGCAAAUCGGGGAAAGCCAAAUUGGGAGCAUCUUUCUGACGAAUUACAUGUUCUAAUUACCGUUGAAGAUACAGAGAAUCGUGCACACAUGAAGCUUGAGCGUGCCGUUGAAGAAGUGAAGAAACUGUUGGUACCCCAAGCUGAAGGUGAAGACGAGCUCAAGAAAAGACAGUUAAUGGAGUUGGCUAUAAUUAAUGGUACUUACAGAGAUUCAAGUACGAAAAUAGCAGCUACAGAUUCCCACAUUUUGGCAUGUGAAGAAGAAUGGCGACGAUUGGCACAAUCAGCCGCCGAAUCGCGCUUGUUAUCCCCAGGAAUGCAGGGUUUAACAGCUCAACAAUUACGUUCACAAACAACACCUUUGGGAGCACCAUUAAUCUUAUCGCCACGCAUGUCGGUGCCCACAACUGCAGCCAGUCUCUUAUCCGCUUCAGCGCCACCAACAAUAGAACACCCAGGAUUGAUUUAUGCCACACCAUACGGCGACUACACAAACUACGCAGCUUUGACUGGAAAUCCUCUCUUAACGGAAUAUGCGGAUCAUAGCGGUGGGUUAUUUGCAAGAUAAACAAUUUUCUCAUACACACAAAAAAACACACUCUCUUACGCUCUCAAGAGUCCAAUCUACAUAGUGAAUUCUCUUAAUAAUUAAUUACUCUUAAUAAUCGUAACGAUUUUUGAACAGAAACAAAGUAGAAAAUUAAUAGUCCAUAGCCAGUUUUCUUCUAUCUUCAUACGAUGCAUUUGAACAAACAAAAACUCGCAACCAACACACAACAUCACACCAUUGAUGCAUAAAUGACACAGCAAAUUCGAUUGCUAACCAUUUCGUUUUCCAACAAAGUCAAACUCGAUCGCAAGCAAUAAUUUAUUGAACAAUGUUUCUUCAAAUUAGAUGUUAGCUAGGUAUACAUAGUGCAGUAGGCAUUAAGCAGAUUAUCAUUCGAUUUUCUCCCCUUGUUUUCCUUUUCAUUAUGUGUUUCGGUAUAUUUUCUCUGUACAAAUGAUGCCACCAUACCAUUUUGUUUGUUUCGCUAAACAAAAUUGUUUCUAAUUUGGGUUUGAACAAAAAUAAUAUGAAGUUUGCAUGUAUCAUGGUUUUCACACUGGUGCAGAAUUCAUUGAAAGUAAAAAGAAACCUAAAAGAACACUACGAGCCAAUCAUUUCGAUUUUGAAAACGUUUUGAAAAGAAGAGAAAAACUUUACAUGAUAUGCAUUAUGUUGCGGUCACCAUUUAAAUACCAUAGCUAAAAACAUGUUAUGCAUGACCUUUUUUGGAGUUUGAAAUUCGAGUGAGAAGGAACAAUGAAAAUAAAAAUAGAAAAAAAACACUCGCUUCAAUUGGUUUGGCCAUUGUUCGAUCUAAAAUACUCAAAUUGGCCUGAUUCGCAUCGUUUUCAAUCGCUUUUAUGUAUUAAAUUCCCCUUUUUCCGUUAAAACUUCCAAAUGUAGUUUAUUUGAUUUGGCUGAAGAGUAUUAUUUUAAACGCGUUUAAUUAAUUUAUAAUCAAUUGUUGUUUGGUGUGUCUCCAGCUAAAUAUAUCCAAUACUGAGCCCGCAACGACCCAUUUUUAAUAAUGAACUACGUAUUUCUGACUUGCAGCGCUUGAACAGCCAUUCAAACGAAUCGUACGGGUUUUUUAUUUUUCAAUGAUUUUUUUUCGGAAUUUUCUCAAACAAAAGCAAUAUCAUUCGUUCCCGAAACUCAUAACAAUUUUCUAAUACCGAAUCACACACACAUUCAACUAGCACACUAGCCAAUGGCUGUGUUUACUGCUGUGUUUUAUUCGUUUCAUGGAAUGGAAUCACAUUACGGGAGGCUCAGAAUGAUUUUCCGCUUUUGCAGUUUUGCUCACAGCGAAUUUCUGAAUGUUUGAUUUAUUUUUAAAUUGAUUUCCGAAGCCAAUUUUCAGGCUCACACAUGUUUCGUGUUUAAGACAGCAAUGGGAUUGGCAACCCGCACAUACAUCACUGUACUGUAUUCAAAUUCGAAAUUAUGACUCGAUCUGCAACUAAUAAUUUCCAUUUCAAAUGAAAUACACUCACUAAUUGAAAAUAGAAUAUGAAGAAAACAGAGUAGACGCCCAAAAUUUAUGAUACACAAUAUUCUCUCUCCCUCUCUUUUCUCACCCUCCACCCUCUGAAAAAUCCUACGGUUAAUUUGCUGUCGCUCAUCGUGUUCACUGUACUUCCUCUCUAAUACGUGCAAUGCAAUAGAAUAAAUAAAAGCAAAUACACUUUAUUCCUCUGUUCCUCAGAACUUUGAUGUAAACGUUCGCAAUAGAACCGAAAAAGAUUUUGCAUUUAUAAUAAGAUAGUUUGCUUUAUUUAUUCUAAAGCAUCACAAUUACUUUUGAUAUAUAAUUUUCCGUUUUUUUUCCCUGUUGGUUUGAAAAAAGCAGAAACACUUAACAAAACAUGUGUAUUUGGUUCGAUUCAUCUUUGGAAUAGAGGACUUUGCCCAACUAGCCAUCAGCCAAAUUGAUGGAAAUGUUUAACUUAAUUUAUCAUUCAUUCAUUCAUUUUAACCAUUUCUGUUCAAUCCGUACCAAAUCCACUUUUUCAUCAUAUUAUUUGCAUUUUAUUUAUUUGUUAUUUGUUUUUAUGUUUAUUUUUGUUUGUGUUUUUUUUUUAAAACGUGAUUUUUCUAAAUACAAUUUUUCCAGUUGGUCGUUACUUGCAUGCUGGUUCAGUGUUUUAGAAAAAUUAAGUCCCUGGCCUUCUUCUAAUUUUAUUUCAUAAAGUUGUAGUAUUAAUGAAAGUUUCCGUUUUUUUUAAAUGAAACUUUAAAACUAUAUGAAAUCGUAUAUUGUUAAAUAUAUUGUUGUUGUAGUAAAAUGGAAAGGUUAUCAUUUUGUAGCCAAAAGUAAUUGGAAAGUGAAAAGAAUGCAGUGAAAAUUCGGCAUGGCGAUUGGAAUUCCGACUCCUUUGACACAAUGGAACUGGACUAAAUGAAAAACGAAAAAAAAAAAAAAACAAACAAAAUCCAAUAAGAUACAGUUCGAACGUGUGAAAAUUUCGCACACAUACAUACACUCGAACACUCAUUACAACAAUUGACACAAAGUUACAUUAAAUAGUUACCAACAGCAUUCAAUGCAUAGCGAAUUCAGCCAAUUUCCGUUACGAGUAUUUCACUGGCAUUAUUUUAAAUGCAACAACAUUUAUAUAUAUAUAUAAAUAUACACAAAUAUGUAGUUUUUAUAUUGAAAAAGAUGUUUGUUCGUAAGAUUGUAUCGAAACCAUGGCCAUGAGCUUUCCAUCUUACGUAUACUCAGAACUUUUUAGUUGAUAUUUAUUGACACAAAUCAAUUUAUGAUAUUUGACACAUUCAGUGCAAAUCCAAUUUUCAAACAAAAAAAAAUGAUAAGAUCGAAUGCCAUGUGGUGAAAAGACAUCGGCUCACGGCCCGAAUCGAAACUAAAUACAGUGGAUACCGAUCGGUAAAGUGCUUACGAAUGAAAUCUUUUUUUUUGUGUGUGCUUGUAAUGAAUUUAUGUAGAUAAAUGACAAUGAUUUGAGAAAGAAAAAUAUGAAUUGUUGUUAUGAGUAGUAUGGAAAACCAUUUUCAACUUUGUUCUCCUUGAAUUUCACAUCCAACGCGGUUUCGCAAUCGCAUACAAUGGAUUGACUAAAUAACUCAUUAGAUAAUGAAAACCGAAUGUGAAAUUCAAGCUGCAAAUCGAUCAAUCUACAAUCAAUAUAUAUUUUUAUAUCGCAACAUUAUCACGUUUAAGUAUUUAUUAGAAGAUCAAUAGUUUUCGAUAUCGUUAUGAAUGUUUGUUUUUUUCGUGCAUUUUCCUAUCGCAGCGGCGUGUCAUUUGAAUCAUUUCUGUUUUCAUCGGAAAUGAAAAGGAAACAAGUGACGACGAGCUCAGCCACAACAACAGCAACACAAAUAAAAGCAGUCCGUCCACUAAACUAGUCACUUUCAGUUUGCGUUAAAAAAUAUUUAGAAAGAAAAAAAAAACACACAAUUUAUGAUUCUGUUUUCGACGUCACUCUCAUCCGAAAAUUAAAAUUUCGUCGGCCUAUCGUCGCUGUUCUGGAAUGAGAAAUGUGGUCGCGCCAUCGAAACCAUGUGCUCAAUAAAAAAAAACAACAUUUAUGAAUCACAUAUUCCGUUCACAUUGGGCAAACGUCAACCGUGAGCUAUUCAAUAUUUGGUUGUUCUCAACGCCUAUUCAUACGUUUUUUUUUUCUCAUUCCUCGACAUUCGUUGAAUGAAACGAACGUGCAAAUGUUCAUAGCAUUUGGCACGGGCGAAAGUGUACUGAUAUUUUUAAAAUUCGGAAUUGAAUUUUGUAUUAUGAUUAAUGAUUUCAUGUUGAGACUCAGUUUCAUUUACAAAAAUUUUCUUUAUGCACACCAUUCCUGUCACCCAUUGAAUACACACACCGUUUCGAUGAGAAAUAUUAUUUGAAUAUUGAGAGAUACGAUGGCGACGUCUAAAUGAAUUAUGUGUAACUACACCACGCAAACUGGUCACAUUAUCAGUGCCAUAAAUGUACGCCUGACAGUUCCUUAUUUAUGCCACAGCAUAUGAACGACUUAUGUUUUUGAACUUAUACUCACCAAUCGAAUGAAAAAUUAAUUUUAAGUAUUGGAACAUAACUGAUGCACGUAAAACUGCUGCCAGCCACACGUCUGUUCGGUUUUGGAGUCCGUUUAAUGAUUUCCGAAUUGAAACACACACAAUCACAUUAGAAUGUAAAUAGCUUUUAUCGUAAUUGUUGUUGUCGUUGUGGCUAUACGUAUUUUACAUUUUCCGAACCGAAUAUUUGCUGGACGCAAUUGCGUAUUGCGUAAAUGUUCAUUGAAAAUAUGGAAAUCAAUCAUGCUCGUCAUGAGACCGUCAAAAGGUUUAUUUACUUAAUAGUUCGGAGAUUUUUUUAGAUCGUACUCUCUCGUUUUAUUCGUAAUGUUAUGCAAACAAAACAAAAGUAUCAGAGAGUAAAUUCGAUAUAAUUUUUUUUAGUUAUUCUAUGAAUAUUGGCCGGUUGUUCAGGUACUCUGCACAGUGAAUCAAUUGAUGCAGAGUGUUCGGAUAGAUCGUCGCUUAAUUUACAUUGAUAUAAUACUUUUUUUUUACAUAUACACAAAACAAUUUUUUUAUUAAAAUUAUAUAUUAUUUUUCAUAAUUAGUAGGAGCAAUUAAGCAACAAAGGCGCUUGCCAACCAGAGAACAUCCCUAUCAGAGAGCUGGGACUCUCUCUUAAACAAAAGCCAAGCAAUGCAUUGCUAAAGCAAAAAAAAAACCAUAAAAUGCAUAAUGCGAAAUGUUUCAAAUUCAUCCAAGAGUCACUUUUGUUGUUCUGUGUGUACUUUUGUUGUUGUUCAGAGAGCCAAAACAAAGAAAACGUUAACUUGAAAUAAUCACAAGAACAAUGCUAUGUGACGUGCUAACCCCUCAACAAAAACAAAUAAAACAUAUGAAAUUAUCACCAUCUUCACCUGUGCAACUAUUACUACUACUAUUUUUUUUUAUUAUGAUUAUGAUUAUUAUAGGAUUAUUAUAUGAUUACUAUUAAUCUAGCUGCUAUUUUCCGGUAUACUUGUGCGUGUAUCUUUGCAUAAAAGAGUUCAAUUUGCUGAACAACAUAAACAUGGGCAGUAUUAAGUGUUCUUUUGGCAAUGAUAUCUGCAUGACCAGCCCCGAAAAUAGUUGACUUAUUAUAUACAUAUUUACAUAUACAUAUAUUAAUUAUUUUUUUUUAACAACUACUACUUCUCUAUCGAAAUAAUAGAUUUAAAAAAAAAAACAUUGAUGUGAAUUCAAUUAAAUAUGAAAAAUGUUUAAUAUGUCAAACGGAUGCAUAUGAAGAAGAUACAAGCCAAGAAAAAGAGAAAUAGCAAAAAACAAAAUCGAAAAAGUUUAAAAAAAAAAAUUAAUUAAUAACGAACGUCAUUGUAAUAUUCGGUGAGUGCCACUAAAAAAAUAUCCACACUCAUCUAGUGCGUGAGACGCAUGCGGAUGGGAUGAAGCAAAGCGAAAGGGAAGCGCGCAACUAGAACAUAGAGUCAAUACAUAGGGUACUACGUGUUUGUGUUUGUGUCCGUAUUCUAACGACGGAGUGACGAAAUGUAUACGCGCUAUAUCGUUCGUUCGUAUGGAGUUGCCUGCUUCUUUCGCUUUGCUUCAUCUCAUCCGCGUACGUCUCACGCACUAGAUGAGUGUGGAUAUUUUUUUAGUGGCACUCACCGAAUAUUACAAUGUAUGAUUAAUAAUGAUUUACAUGAAAAAUGUCAUUUCACAGAAGUAAGAACGUUUCAUAUCAAUCCUUUUUAUGCUCGAAAUAAUCAGAUCAAUUUUUUUUAAUUUUCAAAUUUUAUGCACAACUUAUAUUGUUAAACAAAGAGAUAAAAGCAAACAAAAAUCAUUAGAAGUGAGAUUGCAUGUGUCAUUUGCCAUGCGGGAUGAUGAUUAAGAUCAUUGUUUUAAUUAGUUUAAUUUUACACAAAUUCGUGGGCCAAUUUAGUUUAUUGGGACAAGUGCAAAUUCAUCUGUAUUUCUUUUUCUCUCCCUCGAAUGUUUGAAUUAUUUGAACGUUGGCAAAUUCAUUCAUAUAUAUUACUAUGUAUAAGGGCCAAACGAAGAAACAUAUCAUAUUGGGUUAACAAUUGAUUAAUGCGAAAAUGAAGGUCCAAAAUGUAUUUUAGCGUGAAUAUUUAGAGAGUUUUACCAAGGAAUCUCGAUUGUAGUCUCUUUUAUUUAACGAUAUAAAAAAAAAAACGAAAAUAUACGCACAAAACGAAAGUAACGAUUCAAAAGAUCUUGUCCGAGAGUUUCUUCGAAUUUUCUCGCUAAACAUGUGUACUUGGGCCAUAUCAUCAUAGACACCACACAUAGCUUACGUAUCACAUUUAUGGACUGCAUUAGCGUACGGUAUUCACAUACAUCAGCAGCAUCAGCGACAGUAAAAACAAUUAUCACUCAUUAAACGCUCACUUACAACAUUCACUAAGCAAAUUUAUCCCGAAUAUUGUCAAUACCAUUUACGAUAAAUUGAAUUUCCCUUUGUUUACAUUGGAUGCACAACAUCUUGAGCAAUCGCUCAACAAUGCAAAAGGAAAUUAAAUUGACUUGGCACUAAAAUAAAACAAAAAAUUCGAAUAAUUCUGCCAAAUGAUUAAUUAUUGUUACUCAAAAAUCAAACGCCCAAUCGGAAAUGUUAGUGAAGUAAAAUUAGUUUUAUUGCCUUCUUCACAUUUAUUCGUAGUUGUAUUCAUUCGCUUUUGAGAUUUAUCUCUGUUGGAAUGUUCGAUCAAUUGUGACAAUAAUCACAAGUAAAACAAACGAUAUAUUUUACACAGGUACCAUUUGCCAUUUCACAAGUGGAUUAUUACGUCCAAACAAAAAACCGAGAGAAACAUACAUUUUACCCAAUAUACGAUUUCAGUUUUAUUUUGGUUGACAAAAUGGCAAUAAAAUGCUCCAAGUGCAUAACACAGAGUUAAAUGUUGAACAGUUGAGUUCAAUCGAGCAAUAUUAAAGCAACACUAGGAUCUAGGAAAAUUCGUUUAUAACCAUUUAUAGAAAAUUGACCUUGCGAAAAAAAAAUCGAAUAUAUUGUAUACAAAUGAGAAAAAAAAAAUCAAAUUUUAUUUACCUAAUUUAGAAUGAAUUGACAAUAUUUUCUUCACAAAUCAAAACUAUAUUAGCGCUAGUUCCCACUUCCUAAUUGUUUAUUUUUCAAAGAAUUUAUUUUUUAUCAAAUUAUAACUAUAUCAUUAUUGUACACUAGAGUGUUUCAUAACGUGAAAAAGAGAAAUGGCAAAUUUUAAAUUAAGGAGGAAAAAAUUCCGUAUCAAUUAGCGGUGUUCAUACAACAUAACGAAUGAUAUUCACACUUCGCGAAGCAAAAAGAACUGUCGUAAAAUCGAUUGUUGAAUGCCAAUAGUUAUGCAGUGAUAUGAAUGCAUAAAUGAAUACUUACAAUGAAAAAUCACUCCAAUGUACUCUACCUAUAUCUAUAUAGACUAUAGAAUAUAGAUAACCAUCGAUAUCUAGUAUCGAUGAUGCCUGGGAGACUAAGACCUCAACUAACUGCAAAUAACAUACUGUUGGAUAAUUUUUUUGAAAAAUAAAACAUAAAUUGUGGCUCUAUUGAUAUUGAUGAUUGUUGAAGUUGACUGGAAACCAAGGAGUUGUUACACGAGUGAUGGCAUCAUGCAGCUGAUGUCCAAAGAAUUCGCGAUGUCCAGCAAAGAGAAAAAACACACACACACACAUACACAUUACUAUUGCUUCAGUUUUAAUUCAAUGAAUAGCAUACCUCUGUACAAGAUCAAUUUUGCAGCCGAAGUGUCACGUUGCCAAACAGUACUGGAGAUUCGUCAACAGGGUCUUUGGGCACAAAUUCAUCUGUGUAAUCGAUGGAUACCUCCGCCGUGAUUGAUAACGCCUCUGCGCUUUUCAACAUUGUCAUCCAUACCGUUUGUAGCGUAUUGUUGCCAGGUUUUACGGUAGCAAAUCAUCUUAGACACAAAACCACGGGAUUGAUUUGGAUUUUGCCCAGCUGGUCGCAUUUCUCUUCGAUCCAAUCAUAACUUCCCAUUGCUCUUUGCCACCACAAUUUUCUCUGGUAGCUUCAUUCCAUCAGUCCAAUCAUCUUGAUCGGUCAUACACCAUUCACACACCUUGACACGAUCGUUCAACGUACUCAAUGGAAACGGUGUGAAUCGAAUCUAGCACACAAUCUUGAUGAUCUGGCUUCGUUCACAAAUCGUAUUGCAUUGCUUUCCAUUUUCUUGGAACUCUUCACCAAUUUCCGCGCCGCUCGGAAUCUUAAUCGAUGAAUUUGCAGCUGAUUGGGCAGCUCCAAUGUUAAUGAUGCAUCGUUUGCGAUUUGUCGAUUGAGCAACAACAAAAACAUUUAAUUUUUUCCAAAGAAACAAAAAUUCAAUUGCAAAUUCCUACCACCGACCGAUUGGACUCGAUGUAAUGAUCGAAACUUAAACGUGUGUACUUUUCAGUUGUGUACACUGCAAUAAUUGCUUCCUUUUAGUGAUGGCAUUCGAUCAUAUCCCGUUCGGUCAUUCCAUCGCUCUGCCCUAUCCCUACGCAUUCCUUCUUUGGUCCCAUAAUGAUACUUAGAAGUAGUAAAAUGUUUAUUUAUACAGUUCGUUCGGCACAGAGUAGUUGGAAUUGUUGUCAUUUCAAACGUUUGAAUUUUACAGAUGCUGAGUAGCGUUCCGAAAACAUCUAUUCAAAUUAGACAGUCUUUUUUGUUUCGGGAAGUGUGAAUAUCGAUUGCUCCGUUGUAUGAACACAAUUGAUGCAGAAUUCUUUUCUCUUUAAUUUAAAAUCUACCAUUUCUCUUGUCCAGGUGAUGAAAAAUAUCAUUAUUGUACACACACACACAUCAUAUAUGCAGUGCCUUCGGAAAAGAUGAAUAACAAUUGAGAACAGAAAAUCAAAUAGCGAAAAUAUUUAUUUUCAUCUUCCGUUCAUUUUUUAUACACAUAAGAAAUGUAUUAAUUUUAAAUAGAUAUUCCUUUUUUUUGUUUUAUCUGUGCAUUUUGUUUUCGUGUGUAAGCGUAUGCGUGUGCUAAAUUAUCAACUAGAUUUUUUUUUAGAAAAUUAGUUAUCAACAAUUAGUUAUUAGGUUUUAAAGUUAUAUAUAUAUAUGUUCACUCAAAGCAGAAUCGUUUGGAGAGCAAACUUAUUUUGCCACUUAAAUUAUACUCGAUUUUUUUUCUCCAUUUUGCAAACAGAAUAGAAAUUAUCAGCUUUUGUUCGCUUGUCAAAUGAUGAUGAUGAUCUUAUACUUAUCAUGAUAGUAAAAUGAUGCAUUAAAAUUAAUUUGAAAAUGUCCAGUUUUGCUUAACGUUUCAAUACAUCUACGAUCAUUAUUGGAUUACAUUACAGAAUUCAUAUUAAGUGAAUUGAGGAUUUUAUGUGGAGGAUAAUUUGUGCACAGUGCACACACACACAAAAAUGGCGAAUGAUUUAAAAUUUUGUUGACAUACGUUUGUAUAUGCAGUAAAAUUCAAAGUCACUUUCUAUUGGAGCGCGCCCGCAAAUCAGUCUUUUCAUCAACUCCUCAAUUGUUGCGUUAUUCGUUGAACAUUGCUUAAAUUGAAUGAAAACGACUAUUACCACGUUUUCAUUUCGUUUUUUGCAAGUGUGUAUCCGAUAUUUUGGCAUAAAAUACUUGAACUCUUAAGAUUUUUUUAAACUUAAGAUUUCUUGGUCUGCAAGUGCAAUCAAUAAGCAUGAAAUGGACAAAAAAAAGGUCAUUCAAUUCGAAUGUCAACUAAACGCCGCCGCAGUAAAUAUGGAUGUAAUUGAUUUUUUAUACGCACAGA
Molecule: RNA transcript, 11146 nt
Organism: Sitodiplosis mosellana (orange wheat blossom midge)
Lineage: Eukaryota; Metazoa; Arthropoda; Insecta; Diptera; Cecidomyiidae
Gene: how
Gene name: protein held out wings
Exons: 8
Source: RefSeq, a predicted model, not a curated record